UGUACUUUUAAAGCUCGUGCACGAGCCUGUGCUAUGUGCGCGCGGGCAAAGCGUGGAUUUAUAUUGAAUUGUAAAACACCGCACUUGCGCGGAUGCAGCAUAGGAGUCUGCUCGUUGGUUUCAGGUGUCUGGCCAUCGCCUUCCAUUCGCCCCGCGCCCGAUGCUGCCAUAGUCAUCUCCCACACUGACUGGAUACAUGAAGACUUUCCCGUAAACGACAUCUCCCCCGCUAUAACGGGCCGGAAGAUCAUUACUGCGUUGACGUGUUGAUAUACAUGUAUUUAAAAUAUCAAAUAUGAAUCAUGCAUUUGAUAUUUCUAGCAAAUUUGCUCGUGAGCAUCCUUGCAGCCGGACUCCAUUCAUCCAUAGCAUCAAUCGGAGGAGAGAAUGAGGUGGUGGAGAGAGACGCAGAACCAUUAUUGUCGGAGCGAGAGGCAACUGCAGCAGCGGCCACAGACAACACAAGUCACAGUGCGGCUGAGCAUGUGAUCACUUACCCCUCUCGGCUCAUCUAUUACCUGAAGGAGGACUCAGAGAGCACUUACCAUGACCUGGACACCCGGGCUAGAAACCAGGGCACAGAGGGUCAUGACCAGGCAGUCCAUCUUGCCCAAGCCAGUUUCCAGUUAGAUGCCUUUGGCUCCAAAUUUGUACUGGACCUAACGUUAAACAAUAACUUGUUGUCGUCGGAUUAUGUGGAGAUCCACUAUGAGGAGGGUAAACCUGUUCUAUCAAAGGGUGGUGAGCACUGUUACUACCACGGCCAGGUGAGGGGGAAAGAUGAUUCCCACGUGGCCUUGUCUACCUGCAAUGGGCUGCACGGAAUGUUUGACGAUGGACUCUAUCUCUAUAUAAUGGAGCCUUUGCAACAGACUCACUCAAUUGAUACAGCCGCACGGCCCCACUCACUGCGCAGGAUGCCCAGCCUCCAGUGGAACAGUGACUCAGAGGAACUGGUGAAGGACGAGCGGCUGCUUUCGGAGCUGGACGACAUGUCUUGGCUGAAGCGCAGGAAAAAGCGGGCUAUGCCUAGGAAUGUAUUUGAGGAGAUGAAGUAUUUGGAGAUUAUGAUCGUCAGUGACCAUAAUAUGUAUAAGCGACUCAAGACCAAGCAGCACACCAGGAACUCUGCCAAGUCAGUGGUGAACCUUGUUGAUGCUAUCUUUAAGGAGCACCUGCACACACGGGUGGUUCUGGUUGCCGUAGAGAUCUGGUCGGACAAGGACCCGAUUCCCAUCAGUGUGAAGCCUCUGGACAUGCUGAAAGAUUUCUCUAAAUACCGGGCGCAGAGCAUCAAGCAGCAUACUGACGCUGUGCACCUCUUCUCCAAUGUGACCUUCCACUAUCGCCGAAGCAGUGUAGCGUACUUCGGGGGCAUGUGCUCUGUGAGCCGUGGAGUAGGGGUCAACGAGUAUGGCACCACAUGGACUAUGGCUUCGUCACUCUCCCAGAGCUUGGCACAGAACCUCGGCAUCCAGUGGGAUCCAGCCGCAAAGAGAAAGGAAUGCGGCUGCUCUGAUUCCUGGGUGGGCUGCAUCAUGGAGGACACUGGGGUCCAGCAUCCCCGGAAGUUCUCCAAGUGCAGCAUCUCAGACUACAAGGCGUUCCUGCUGAAGGGCGGUGGAUCAUGUCUCUAUAACAGGCCGACCAAGCUGUUUGAAUCUACAGAGUGUGGGAAUGGAUACAUUGAGGUGGGAGAGGAGUGUGACUGCGGAGAUAGAACAGAGUGCUACAAGGACUGCUGUAAGAAGUGUUCCCUAGCUAAUGGUGCACAUUGCGCUGACGGACCUUGCUGCAACAACACUUGUCUGUUCUACCCACGUGGUUACAGUUGUCGCUAUGCGGUGAAUGACUGUGACAUCUCAGAGACAUGCUCAGGAGACUCUGGCCAGUGCCCUCCCAACCUCCACAAACAAGAUGGCUACCAAUGUCAAGUCGACCAGGGACGCUGCUACAGCGGAGAGUGCAAGACCAGAGGAAACCAGUGCAAAUAUCUCUGGGGCCCAAAGGCGGGAGCGUCUGAGAAGUUCUGCUACGAGAAGCUAAACACAGAAGGAACCGAGAAGGGUAACUGUGGAAAGGAUGGAGAUAAGUGGCUCCAGUGCAGCAAGCAUGAUGUGUUCUGUGGGUUCCUGCUGUGCAGUAAUAUCGGACACAACCCCCGCAUCGGCACGAUGAAGGGAGACAUCACUCGUACCUCCUUCCACCAUCAGGGCAGGCCGGUGAACUGCAGUGGUGGCCAUGUUCUUUUGGACGAUGAGACUGACUUAGGCUACGUGGAGGACGGAGCGCCCUGUGGGCCGUCCAUGAUGUGCCUUGACCACAAGUGUCUGCCCAUCCAGUCCCUCAACAUGAGCACCUGCCCCAGCGGGCCCAACGGCCAGGUGUGCUCAUCCCACGGGGUGUGUAACAACGAGGCGACGUGCACCUGUGACACCACCUGGGCGGGGACUGACUGCAGCAUGCCCGACCCUCCCAAGGAGCCUGCACCCACAGAAGACGAAGAACCAAAAGGUCCUAGUGCCACCAAUCUUAUAAUAGGCUCCAUCGCCGGUGCCAUCCUGGUGGCUGCCAUAGUGCUGGGGGGGACCGGAUGGGGCUUUAAGGUUCGAGGGUGAGAGUUUAAGCGGAAGUGGUGAGAGAGAAGCCAGGGCCAUAUUGUUGGCCGCAGCCUUUGUGUCAUGGCUGGCCACACCCACCUGGAUGGCCAGGCUCCGCCCUAGAGCAGAGCAGGACUCCCGGACCCGCCCACAACAGCUGCCAUUGCUGCCUGCUUCACAGACCUGGUACACACACGGCGCAUUGUACUGCAUGACCCACCACGCACAUCAAUAGAGCCAUCUCCAACUGGCCUACUAUUGAAACAGAAAUGUGAAGAAGCGAAAGUACGACCCCAACGCCAGCGCCAUAUAAGGUUGGAGGAGAGGUCAGCGGGCACAGAGGAAACCUUCUGGGCUUCCUUAGUACUCUACAGCUGGACUUACUGCGGAGGAUUUUUUGGGCAUUAGAUUUACUUGAAAAAUACAUAGAGGACAAUUUAACAUUAUCCAUCUUAGUCAUGUAGAGAUGUAGCCUUUUUCAACCCUAACAACCCACCUAGCAACCUCACCCACCUACCUAGCAACCCACCUAACAACCUCACCCACCUACCUAACAACCCAGCUAACAACCCCACCAACCUAUCUAACAACCCAUCUAACAGUCCCACCCACCUAACAACCUCACCCACCUACCUAACAACCCACCUAACAACCCCACCCACCCACCUAACAACCACACCCACCCACCUAACAACCACACCUACCCACCUAACAACCCCACUCAUCUACCUAACAACCCCACUCAUCUACCUAACAACCCCACCCACCUAACAACCCCUCCACCCACCUAACUACCCCACCCUCCUCCCUAACAACCCCACCCACCUACUUAACAACAACACUCACCUACCUAACAACCCCACCUACCUAACAACCCCACCUACCUAACAACCCCACCCACAUACCUAACAACCCCACUCACCUACCUAACAACCCCACACAUCUACCUAACAACCCCACUCACCUAACUAACAACUCCAUCCACUCACCUAACAACCACACCCACCCACCUAACAACCCCGCUCACCUAACAACCACACCCACCCACCUAACAACCCCACCUACCUAACAACCCCACUCACCUACCUAACAGCCCCACCCACCUAACAACCCCGCCCACCUCCCUAACAACCCCACCCACCUACCUAACAACCCCACUCACCUACCUAACAACCCCACUCAUCUACCUAACAACCCCACCCACCUACCUAACAACCCCACCCACAUAACGAACAACCCCACUCACCUACCUAACAACCCCACUCAUCUACCUAAGAACCCCACUCACCUACCUAACAACCCCACUCAUCUACCUAACAACCCCACUCACCUAACUAACAACUCCACCCACACACCUAACAACCCCGCUCACCUAACAACCACACCCACCCACCUAACAACCCCACCCACCCACCUAACAACCCCACUCACCUAACAACCCCACCAAUGGCGGACUGGCCGUCAGGAGCCCCGGGACAUUCCUGGUGGCCUGAGGGUCGUUUGGGACUGCUGUGAAUAGUCAACUUGACCAGCGAUAAAAUAGCAAGCAGGAAUUAGUUGACGGAGAAUCCACGAAUCAGGCGCGACUCUCACACUCUUGCUGCAGUGUCCCAGUGCCAAAAAUGACCUCAGGUCUCUCCACGUCACACAUAGCAACCGUCUACCUGCUUCUCUACCGAUAACAUUUUAGAUAAGUCGCACGGCAAAAUGGUCAGAAAGGGAAAAGUGGAGCAGAGAGGGAGAGAAUAAAAAACAGAAAGGCCUUUGCCACAGUCAAAAACACUAGCUAAAACACACACACACUGACACAAACACGUCACCCAGCAUGGCUAGCUAAGUAGCCUAGCUAAAAGUAGUGACACAAUGGCAGGUAGGCUAAACAGUUUGCACGUCUUACAUCUUCGUGGAGGAAUUAUAUCAUAGCAAUGAAUGCAACAUAGCGAUCAUAAUAUGACAUUGAAGGCAAUAUGUUUCAACUAGUAAAACAUAGUAAACCUAGACUAUGGACUUGCCAGGAUUCGGUCAUGACUCAUGCCACAUAAGCGAGGGAAAGUGCACAUCCACUGUACAGUGAAACAGGCUACAGUAACCUAACCAUAAUGCAUCCAUGAACGUAACACAGCACAGUGUGACACAGCACAGGCAAUGACAAAGAUCAUUAGCGCCAUUAGUACCAGCAUUACAAUUUACUACGAUAAUAUACAGCUCUGGGGGAAAAUUAAGAGAACACUCCAAAUUAAGAGACCACUCCAAAUUAAGAGAACACUCCAAAUUAAGAGACCACUCCAAAUUAAGAGACCACUCCAAAUUAAGAGAACACUCCAAAUUAAGAGAACACUACAAAUUAAGAGACCACUCCAAAUUAAGAGACCACUCCAAAUUAAGAGAACACUCCAAAUUAAGAGAACACUACAAAUUAAGAGACCACUCCAAAUUAAGAGAACACUCCAAAUUAAGAGAACACUCCAAAUUAAUAAGAGAACACUCCAAAUUAAGAGACCACUCCAAAUUAAGAGAACACUCCAAAUUAAGAGAACACUCCAAAUUAAGAGACCACUCCAAAUUAAGAGACCACUCCAAAUUAAGAGAACACUCCAAAUUAAGAGAACACUACAAAUUAAGAGACCACUCCAAAUUAAGAGACCACUCCAAAUUAAGAGAACACUCCAAAUUAAGAGAACACUACAAAUUAAGAGACCACUCCAAAUUAAGAGAACACUCCAAAUUAAGAGAACACUCCAAAUUAAUAAGAGAACACUCCAAAUUAAGAGACCACUCCAAAUUAAGAGAACACUCCAAAUUAAGAGACCACUCCAAAUUAAUAAGAGAACACUCCAAAUUAAGAGACCACUCCAAAUUAAGAGAACACUCCAAAUUAAGAGACCACUCCAAAUUAAGAGAACACUCCAAAUUAAGAGAACACUCCAAAUUAAGAGACCACUCCAAAUUAAGAGACCACUCCAAAUUAAGAGAACACUCCAAAUUAAGAGAACACUACAAAUUAAGAGACCACUCCAAAUUAAGAGAACACUCCAAAUUAAGAGAACACUCCAAAUUAAUAAGAGAACACUCCAAAUUAAGAGACCACUCCAAAUUAAGAGACCACUCCAAAUUAAGAGAACACUCCAAAUUAAGAGACCACUCCAAAUUAAGAGACCACUCCAAAUUAAGAGAACACUCCAAAUUAAGAGACCACUCCAAAUUAAGAGAACACUCCAAAUUAAGAGACCACUCCAAAUUAAGAGGCCACUCCAAAUUAAGAGAACACUCCAAAUUAAGAGACCACUCCAAAUUAAGAGGCCACUCCAAAUUAAGAGAACACUCCAAAUUAAGAGAACACUCCAAAUUAAGAGACCACUCCAAAUUAAGAGAACACUCCAAAUUAAGAGAACACUCCAAAUUAAGAGACCACUCCAAAUUAAGAGACCAUUCUUAAUUUUUCCCAGAGCUGUAUUAAUGUACUGAUACACUAAUGAUAGUAUGAUAAUAGAGUAUUUUCUUUGUAAAGGUGGAGGAAGGAAGCAGCAGCAGCACUAGAGCUUCAGGUGCUCCUGCAGAACUGGAGGAGGUGGUCAGUUCAGAGUCAGACUCAGAGCAGGAACCUUCAGCUACAAUUUAAGAGCACAAACCUAAACAUGUAGGCUAUGAUUGUAGAUUAAUAUGUGCUUUAUUUAUGAGAUUAUCAGUAGGACUGUAAUCGGGGGCCAUACCUUGUACAUUUGUAUGUGCUAUGAUUGGUGUAUUCCUAGAGAGUUUAUGAGGGGGCACCCAUAGCCAUAGCAUACCUUGAAAACUCAGUGUUCAGAUAGGCUACUAGUUGGUCAGUCCCAAAUGUUUGCAUUUUGUCAUGUGGGUAACUUUCUUCUGAAUUAUUGUUUCAGUCCGCCCCUGAACCCCACCACCUAACAACCCCACCCACCUAACAACCCCACCACCUAACAACCCUACCCACCUAACAACCCACCCACCUAACAACCCCACCACCUAACAACCCUACCCACCUAACAACCCUACCCACCUAACAACCCACCCACCUAACAACCCCACCCACCUAACAACCCCACUCACCUAACAACCCCACCACCUAACAACCCCACCCACCUAACAACCCCACCCAACUGCCUAACAACCUACCUAACAACCCCACCCACCUAUCUAACAACCCCACCCACUUACCUAACAUCCCACCUAAAACCCACCCACCCACCCACCUAACAACCCCACCCACCUACCUAACAACCACACCCACCUACCUAACAACCCCUCCCACCUAUCUAACAACCCCACCCACUUACCUAACAACCCACCUAACAACCCCACCCAACCACCUAACAACCCCACCCACUUACCUAACAUCCCACCUAACAACCCAACCCACCCACCUAACAACCCCACCCACCUACCUAACAACCCCACCCACCUUCCUAACAACCACACACACUUACCUAACAACCCACCUAACAACCCCACCCACCUACCUAACAACCACACCAACCUUCCUAACAACCCCACAAACUUACCUAACAACCUACCUAACAACUCCACACACUUACCUAACAACCCCACCCACCCACCUAUCAACCCCACCCACCUACCUAACAACCCCAAACAAUCCUACCCACAUACCUAAUAACCCCACCCACCUAACAACCCCACCCACCUACCAAACCCCAGGGUUUGGCCGGCAGGGAUAUCCUUGUCUUAUCGCGCACUAGCGACUCCUGUGGCGGGGCGCAGUGCAUUUUGACCAGGUGGCCAGGUGUACGGUGUUUCCUCCGACACAUUGGAGGACGCACAUAUAGGUUGGAUGUGCGUUGUGUCAAGAAGCAGUGCGGCUAGGUUGGGUUGUGUUUCGGAGGACGCAUGGCUCUCGACCUCCGUACGGGAUUUGCAGCGAUGAGACAAGACUGUAACUACCAAUUGGAUACCACGAAAUUGAGUAGAAAAAAGGGGUAAAAAAGAAUCAUCAAAAAUAACAACCCACCUACCUAACAACCCAACAAUCUAACAACCCCACCAACCUACCUAACAACCCAACAAUCUAACAACCCCACCAACCUACCUAACAACCCACCUUCCUAACAACCCACCUUGCUAACAACCCACCUUCCUAACAACCCACCUUGCUAACAACCCACCUUGCUAACAACCCACCUUCCUAACAACCCACCUUCCUAACAACCCACCUACCUAACAACCCACCUUCCUAACAACCCACCUUCCUAACAACCCACUUACCUAACAACCCACCUACCUAACAACCCACCUCCCUAACAACCCACCUUCCUAACAACCCACCUACCUAACAACCCACCUACCUAACAACCCACCUUCCUAACAACCCACCUUCCUAACAACCCACCUACCUAACAACCCACCUACCUAACAACCCACCUACCUAACAACCCACCUUCCUAACAACCCACCUACCUAACAACCCACCUUCCUAACAACCCACCUACCUAACAACCCACCUUCCUAACAACCCACCUAUCUAACAACCCACCUUCCUAACAAACCAACAAUCUAACAACCCCACCCACCUACCUGACAACCCACCUUCCAAACAACCCACCUACCUAACACACCAACAAUCUAACAACCCCACCAACCUACAUAACAACCCACCUUCCUAACAACCCAACAAUCUAACAACCCCACCCACCGACCUGACAACCCACCUUGCGAACAACCCACCUUCCUAACAACCCAACCAUCUAACAACCCCACCCACCUACCUGACAACCCACCUUGCGAACAACCCACCUACCUAACAACCCAACCACCUAACAACACCACCCUGAUAUCUAUAGGCACAGAACUCCUCUCUUCUGAUCGCCAGUCCACAGAGGUUCACCAGGCAUGAUUUCCCUCACAGAGCGUGCAUCUCGCUGGCCCUGGCAUGUGGAGCCCUCACAAAGAACUGCAUGCCAAAGCUAUGAACAGCACACAGCAAAAAGAGAGAUCUACUGAAUCAUCAAAUGGAGGAGAUGGCCUCAUAAAAAUGGGAAAUACAGACCACAUUCAAUAAAUGGAAAUAUAUACAUUGGGCAAGAUUGUACAUAAAAGAGGAACAAGAGUCCAGCUUCUGAAUUAUAACAUAUUAUAACAUAUCAUUUCUGCUUUGGGUUUAUUUUAAGCAUGUUGUAUAGCGGGUGUUUAUGGUAAUGUUAAUGAAAGAAAACAGGUCCAAAAUGCUAUGGAUAACCAGAGAAUGUAAUGAUCUACCUAUUAGGUGUUCAGCAAAGUUAUCACGUGGAAUGUUUGGAUGUUGUCACACACAGAGCACUUUCCCCAUAGUCUGUUCCUCUCUCUCACAGUGCUGCAGACAUACACACAGUGUGUCCCUGCAGACUAGUUCCACCUGUUGGAUCAGGUGGUGUCACUAUUUAACAGUCCUCAUCAACACCCACUAUACUGGCUGGCUUGUGCUCUCAUAAACUCUUACUAGAAAUCAAGUUCAUCUCUGCUGGUACGCUGCAUGUAUUCACACUAUAGUGGAGUGGGCUUAUAAUUCUAUAAGGGAGUCCCAAAUCCGCAAGAUAAAAUAUGCUGCUAAAGAAAAGGUGCAUGUCAACAAACAAAAUAUCUACAUUUUUUAUUUCUAUGCAAAGAAAGAUGUUGCACAAACAUAUGGGGUUAUUACAUGAAAUAAUGAUAUCAGUAUAAACAUGGAAUAAAAAAACUCUCCGAAUCAGCCAACAUUUUGUAUUCAGCUAUUCCCACAUCUCAUUUCAUUUCGCUUCGAAGUUACUGAAAUAAAGAAUGACGAUGUGCAUAAUUGAAUCAACAUGUCCAAGUGAAAAGCGAAAGAGCAUCCUUUUACAUUUAUGGAAGCGAAGAAAAUCUAUAUUUUGUUUUGUUUUUCAAUCUAAUCUAAAUGACUAUUCCAAAUCUGACAUACUGUAUGUGCCGAGGCCUCAACAGGUUACUUUACCAGGACUUUAGUUUCCAGCUCAGCUGACAGACAGUUGGUUUGUUCCAAGUGCUGCCAUAGCACUGGCAUUGUGUAAAACUCCAUGUUUAGUCAUCAUCUCGUGUCCCUAUCAACACUGCAUCAUUGUACAGUUGGACCGACGAAUAAACGACUGAAAUAUUUUA
RNA transcript from Oncorhynchus keta (chum salmon), 9701 nucleotides. It is a transcript of the gene named disintegrin and metalloproteinase domain-containing protein 23-like, with no coding region annotated. NCBI's taxonomy places the organism in Eukaryota, Metazoa, Chordata, Actinopteri, Salmoniformes, Salmonidae. The record is from RefSeq and is a predicted model, not a curated record. The transcript has 27 exons.